Molecule: ribosomal RNA, 497 nt
Filed under: uncultured bacterium
Lineage: Bacteria
Description: partial 16S ribosomal RNA
Rfam family: Bacterial small subunit ribosomal RNA
Source: RNAcentral
GAUGAACGCUGGCGGCGUGCCUAAUACAUGCAAGUCGAGCGAACAGACGAGGAGCUUGCUCCUCUGACGUUAGCGGCGGACGGGUGAGUAACACGUGGAUAACCUACCUAUAAGACUGGGAUAACUUCGGGAAACCGGAGCUAAUACCGGAUAAUAUAUUGAACCGCAUGGUUCAAUAGUGAAAGACGGUUUUGCUGUCACUUAUAGAUGGAUCCGCGCCGCAUUAGCUAGUUGGUAAGGUAACGGCCUACCAAGGCAACGAUGCGUAGCCGACCUGAGAGGGUGAUCGGCCACACUGGAACUGAGACACGGUCCAGACUCCUACGGGAGGCAGCAGUAGGGAAUCUUCCGCAAUGGGCGAAAGCCUGACGGAGCAACGCCGCGUGAGUGAUGAAGGUCUUCGGAUCGUAAAACUCUGUUAUUAGGGAAGAACAAAUGUGUAAGUAACUGUGCACGUCUUGACGGUACCCAAUCAGAAAGCCACGGCUAACUACGUG